AAAGGGAGACCUAAUUCGGGUAGAAGACGAAAAAAUAGUAGUCGAAACCAAGAAUCAAUCCCAAAAGGUCGGAACGAGGUAUGUGGCUUUCAAACUAGGUUCUGGGUUCACACAAGACCUGAAUCAGGAACAAGGGCUAUUAGCUCAGGUGGUUAGAGCGCACCCCUGAUAAGGGUGAGGUCCCUGGUUCGAGUCCAGGAUGGCCCACCUGCACAGGUGGCAAAAACAAAGAAAAGAAGCGAGGAAUCAGCACCUUAUCUUACUUAUAUAGUAAGAGAGAAUGCUGGCUCUGAGUUCAGAGUCCAGAGGAACCUUGAAAACUGCAUAGAGCUAGGUGAAAAAGCCAAAAAAGAAGACCGUCAG
RNAcentral lists this transfer RNA (363 nucleotides) under uncultured Microcystis sp. Its description in RNAcentral is "partial 16S-23S ribosomal RNA intergenic spacer". The stretch from base 134 to 207 matches the Rfam family "tRNA". The record is from RNAcentral. Lineage: Bacteria; Bacillati; Cyanobacteriota; Cyanophyceae; Chroococcales; Microcystaceae.